This 497-nucleotide ribosomal RNA is filed under the name uncultured bacterium. RNAcentral describes it as "partial 16S ribosomal RNA". It matches the Rfam family "Bacterial small subunit ribosomal RNA", at positions 28 to 507 of the family's 1533-position model. The record is from RNAcentral.
GAUGAACGCUGGCGGCGUGCCUAAUACAUGCAAGUCGAGCGAACAGACGAGGAGCUUGCUCCUCUGACGUUAGCGGCGGACGGGUGAGUAACACGUGGAUAACCUACCUAUAAGACUGGGAUAACUUCGGGAAACCGGAGCUAAUACCGGAUAAUAUAUUGAACCGCAUGGUUCAAUAGUGAAAGACGGUUUUGCUGUCACUUAUAGAUGGAUCCGCGCCGCAUUAGCUAGUUGGUAAGGUAACGGCUUACCAAGGCAACGAUGCGUAGCCGCCCGGAGAGGGUGAUCGGCCACACUGGAACUGAGACACGGUCCAGACUCCUACGGGAGGCAGCAGUAGGGAAUCUUCCGCAAUGGGCGAAAGCUUGACGGAGCAACGCCGCGUGAGUGAUGAAGGUCUUCGGAUCGUAAAACUCUGUUAUUAGGGAAGAACAAAUGUGUAAGUAACUAUGCACGUCUUGACGGUACCUAAUCAGAAAGCCACGGCUAACUACGUG